This 618-nucleotide ribosomal RNA is filed under the name uncultured bacterium. Its description in RNAcentral is "bacterial SSU rRNA". It matches the Rfam family "Bacterial small subunit ribosomal RNA", at positions 224 to 842 of the family's 1533-position model. The record is from RNAcentral.
GAUGGGGAUGCGUUCCAUUAGAUAGUAGGCGGGGUAACGGCCCACCUAGUCUUCGAUGGAUAGGGGUUCUGAGAGGAAGGUCCCCCACAUUGGAACUGAGACACGGUCCAAACUCCUACGGGAGGCAGCAGUGAGGAAUAUUGGUCAAUGGGCGAGAGCCUGAACCAGCCAAGUAGCGUGAAGGAUGACUGCCCUAUGGGUUGUAAACUUCUUUUAUAAAGGAAUAAAGUCGGGUAUGGAUACCCGUUUGCAUGUACUUUAUGAAUAAGGAUCGGCUAACUCCGUGCCAGCAGCCGCGGUAAUACGGAGGAUCCGAGCGUUAUCCGGAUUUAUUGGGUUUAAAGGGAGCGUAGAUGGAUGUUUAAGUCAGUUGUGAAAGUUUGCGGCUCAACCGUAAAAUUGCAGUUGAUACUGGAUAUCUUGAGUGCAGUUGAGGCAGGCGGAAUUCGUGGUGUAGCGGUGAAAUGCUUAGAUAUCACGAAGAACUCCGAUUGCGAAGGCAGCCUGCUAAGCUGCAACUGACAUUGAGGCUCGAAAGUGUGGGUAUCAAACAGGAUUAGAUACCCUGGUAGUCCACACGGUAAACGAUGAAUACUCGCUGUUUGCGAUAUACUGCAA